This 206-nucleotide ribosomal RNA is filed under the name uncultured bacterium. RNAcentral describes it as "partial 16S ribosomal RNA". It matches the Rfam family "Bacterial small subunit ribosomal RNA", at positions 568 to 774 of the family's 1533-position model. The record is from RNAcentral.
CUAGUAGGCGGCUUAGCAAGUCGGGUGUGAAAACUUCAGGCUCAACCUGGAGCGGCCAUCCGAUACUGCUAUGGCUAGAGUCCGGUAGGGGACCACGGAAUUCCUGGUGUAGCGGUGAAAUGCGCAGAUAUCAGGAGGAACACCGAUGGCGAAGGCAGUGGUCUGGGCCGGAACUGACGCUGAAUAGCGAAAGCGUGGUGCGAACA